AGGGUGACAGCCCCGUACACAAAAAUGCACAUGCUGUGAGCUCGAUGAGUAGGGCGGGACACGUGGUAUCCUGUCUGAAUAUGGGGGGACCAUCCUCCAAGGCUAAAUACUCCUGACUGACCGAUAGUGAACCAGUACCGUGAGGGAAAGGCGAAAAGAACCCCGGCGAGGGGAGUGAAAAAGAACCUGAAACCGUGUACGUACAAGCAGUGGGAGCCUCUUAAUGGGGUGACUGCGUACCUUUUGUAUAAUGGGUCAGCGACUUAUAUUCUGUAGCAAGGUUAACCGAAUAGGGGAGCCGAAGGGAAACCGAGUCUUAACUGGGCGUUAAGUUGCAGGGUAUAGACCCGAAACCCGGUGAUCUAGCCAUGGGCAGGUUGAAGGUUGGGUAACACUAACUGGAGGACCGAACCGACUAAUGUUGAAAAAUUAGCGGAUGACUUGUGGCUGGGGGUGAAAGGCCAAUCAAACCGGGAGAUAGCUGGUUCUCCCCGAAAGCUAUUUAGGUAGCGCCUCGUGAAUUCAUCUCCGGGGGUAGAGCACUGUUUCGGCAAGGGGGUCAUCCCGACUUACCAACCCGAUGCAAACUGCGAAUACCGGAGAAUGUUAUCACGGGAGACACACGGCGGGUGCUAACGUCCGUCGUGAAGAGGGAAACAACCCAGACCGCCAGCUAAGGUCCCAAAGUCAUGGUUAAGUGGGAAACGAUGUGGGAAGGCCCAGACAGCCAGGAUGUUGGCUUAGAAGCAGCCAUCAUUUAAAGAAAGCGUAAUAGCUCACUGGUCGAGUCGGCCUGCGCGGAAGAUGUAACGGGGCUAAACCAUGCACCGAAGCUGCGGCAGCGACGCUUAUGCGUUGUUGGGUAGGGGAGCGUUCUGUAAGCCUGUGAAGGUGUGCUGUGAGGCAUGCUGGAGGUAUCAGAAGUGCGAAUGCUGACA
RNAcentral lists this ribosomal RNA (938 nucleotides) under Escherichia coli. Its description in RNAcentral is "partial 23S ribosomal RNA". It matches the Rfam family "Bacterial large subunit ribosomal RNA", at positions 361 to 1302 of the family's 2925-position model. The record is from RNAcentral. Lineage: Bacteria; Pseudomonadati; Pseudomonadota; Gammaproteobacteria; Enterobacterales; Enterobacteriaceae.